GGAUGAGCCCGCGUAAGAUUAGCUAGUUGGUGAGGUAAAAGCUCACCAAGGCGACGAUCCUUAGCUGGUCUGAGAGGAUGAUCAGCCACACUGGGACUGAGACACGGCCCAGACUCCUACGGGAGGCAGCAGUGGGGAAUAUUGGACAAUGGGCGAAAGCCUGAUCCAGCAAUGCCGCGUGAGUGAUGAAGGCCUUAGGGUUGUAAAGCUCUUUUACCCGGGAUGAUAAUGACAGUACCGGGAGAAUAAGC
Molecule: ribosomal RNA, 251 nt
Filed under: Sphingomonas pruni
Lineage: Bacteria; Pseudomonadati; Pseudomonadota; Alphaproteobacteria; Sphingomonadales; Sphingomonadaceae
Description: partial 16S rRNA
Rfam family: Bacterial small subunit ribosomal RNA
Source: RNAcentral